Molecule: long non-coding RNA, 245 nt
Filed under: Elaeis guineensis (African oil palm)
Lineage: Eukaryota; Viridiplantae; Streptophyta; Magnoliopsida; Arecales; Arecaceae
Description: long non-coding RNA (EGUI_LNC027018)
Source: RNAcentral
AUCACAUAAACAUCAAGAUGGUUUGCUCAAAAAUAAUUUAAUUGCUAGGGUUACCUAAUUUAAAACGUAACUGGGCUUAUAUAUACUCUAUGGUAUUAUUAUGAAGGGCUCAAAUUGUUCGAACAUUUUUUUCAAAUUGUAUUAGGUCUAGAUCCAACAUUAAAUCUAUUGCCAUGCGACAAGUAUAUAAUGAAGUUGGUCAACAUUCGGUGGCUUGAAAGAAACCCUUCAUUUAAAAGGAAUGC